AGCUCACUUUGACUGGAACCAGCUACACCAAUGCCCUUGAAAUAGUACAGACCAUGUCCCAGUUAAAAAUGGUUCCAAGGCAGCUUGUGUUUAUGACUGUUUACCAAAAGGGCAACAGGACACGUAUGCUGAGGCACAUUGCUCUGUGGGAUGGCAAAGAGACAAAGGUAACAGGCACUUACACUGGACUCUUCCCAAAGUUGCCUGGAGGUCACAACAUUCAGGUGGAACUUUUCCAUCCUCUCUCCAUCCCUUUCCCACGGCAUGCCAGGGUCAACUUAUAUGUGAAACAUUCGGCACGUCAUCACCGGGAUGAUCUUACUGUCAUUUGGAAUGAGGAGGACCAGAUAUCAGUGUCAUCUUCUCUGAAGUUUGGAAGACACCGGACAAACUACAGAGCCACUGUUGCCCACCCAUUUAAUUACACCCUGAAGCAACUGGAGAUCCAUUCCCUGUCAGAAAGAAGGGGCAGAAAGUACAACCAGCAGCUGCAGCUGGCAGGGAAUGCUGGGCAGCCUGCUGACAUCCGACUGACCCUGGAGGAUAAAUCCAAGGUGGACAUCACUGCCUGGGCAGGCUGUGUGACACUCUCUGCAGGCCAGCUUCAGAGAAUAUUAAGUAUGGAACACCUGCAUGCAUGUGGGUCUCUAGAGCAAAAAUCAACACUGUUUAAUGAAUAUCUAGAUCUGAACUGGGAUGACAAAAAAAUCA
Molecule: long non-coding RNA, 711 nt
Filed under: Lepidothrix coronata (blue-crowned manakin)
Lineage: Eukaryota; Metazoa; Chordata; Aves; Passeriformes; Pipridae
Description: lncRNA (ENSLCOG00000009976.1)
Source: RNAcentral